Molecule: ribosomal RNA, 249 nt
Filed under: uncultured bacterium
Lineage: Bacteria
Description: partial 16S ribosomal RNA
Rfam family: Bacterial small subunit ribosomal RNA
Source: RNAcentral
UACGUAGGCAGCAAGCGUUGUUCGGAAUUACUGGGCGUAAAGAGUGUGUAGGCGGUGCUCUAAGUUCGGUGUGAAAUCUCCCGCUUAACUGGGAGGGUGCGCCGGAAACUGGAGUGCUCGAGCGUGGGAGAGGAAAGCGGAAUUCCUCGGGUGUAGCGGUGAAAUGCGUAGAUAUCAGGAGGAACACCGGUGGUGUAGACGGCUUUCUGGACCAUAGCCUGGACGCUGAGACACGAAAGCGUGGGUAGC